CAAUGCUGUGGGUCGAGCCGAGGUUUUAGUCUCCAUAUUACAGACAAUACCGGACAGGAGAUCAUCAAGUGUGUUCGAGAUUUUAAAUGCUGCGUCGGACUAUGCUGGCUGGCUAACUUUGAUGCAUGGGCCCAUGAAAUAGCUGUGGAGGCACCUGUAGGGACAGUUGUGGGAUAUGUACGACAAGAGCGGUCACUGUGGACUCCCCACUAUAGCAUCAGAGAUGCUAGCAGGGAAACUGUAUUUAACAUAAAGGGUCCUUGUUGUGUGGUGAAUGGAUGUUGUUGGGACCAAGAUUUUAUUGU
Pecten maximus is the source of this 305-nucleotide long non-coding RNA. RefSeq lists it as uncharacterized. The transcript has 3 exons. NCBI's taxonomy places the organism in Eukaryota, Metazoa, Mollusca, Bivalvia, Pectinida, Pectinidae. The record is from RefSeq and is a predicted model, not a curated record.